Small nuclear RNA from Bactrocera tryoni, 100 nucleotides. The record is from RefSeq and is a predicted model, not a curated record. Lineage: Eukaryota; Metazoa; Arthropoda; Insecta; Diptera; Tephritidae.
AUUAAAAGUUUCAAAUAUAAAAUGCAUAUGUAUACGAUACGGAGAAGAAUGGCCCCUGCGCAAGGAUGACACGCAAAAUGGUGAAGCGUUCCACAUUUUU